RNAcentral lists this ribosomal RNA (400 nucleotides) under uncultured bacterium. RNAcentral's name for it is "bacterial SSU rRNA". It matches the Rfam family "Bacterial small subunit ribosomal RNA", at positions 355 to 752 of the family's 1533-position model. The record is from RNAcentral.
UGAGGAAUAUUGGUCAAUGGGCGGGAGCCUGAACCAGCCAAGUCGCGUGAGGGAAGACGGUCCUAUGGAUUGUAAACCUCUUUAGGCGGGGAGCAAUGCCGGGCACGCGUGCCCGGAGGGAGAGUACCCGCAGAAUAAGCAUCGGCUAACUCCGUGCCAGCAGCCGCGGUAAUACGGAGGAUGCGAGCGUUAUCCGGAUUUAUUGGGUUUAAAGGGUGCGUAGGCGGAUUUUUAAGUCAGCGGUAAAAUGUCCGGGCUCAACCCGGGCCGGCCGUUGAAACUGGGGAUCUUGAGUGGGCGAGAAGUAUGCGGAAUGCGUGGUGUAGCGGUGAAAUGCAUAGAUAUCACGCAGAACUCCGAUUGCGAAGGCAGCAUACCGGCGCCCGACUGACGCUGAGGC